CCUACGGGUGGCAGCAGUGGGGAAUAUUGCACAAUGGGGGAAACCCUGAUGCAGCGACGCCGCGUGAGUGAAGAAGUAAUUCGUUAUGUAAAGCUCUAUCAGCAGGGAAGAAAAUGACGGUACCUGAGUAAGAAGCCCCGGCUCACUACGUGCCAGCAGCCGCGGUAAUACGUAGGGGGCAAGCGUUAUCCGGAUUUACUGGGUGUAAAGGGGGCGUAGACGGCAGUGCAAGUCUGGAGUGACAGGCGUGGGCUCAACCCCAGGACUGCUCUGGAAACUGUACGGCUGGAGUGCAGGAGAGGUAAGUGGAAUUCCUAGUGUAGCGGUGAAAUGCGUAGAUAUUAGGAGGAACACCAGUGGCGAAGGCGGCUUACUGGACUGUAACUGACGUUGAGGCUCGAAAGCGUGGGGAGCAAACAGGAGUAGAUACCCGAGUAGUC
RNAcentral lists this ribosomal RNA (440 nucleotides) under uncultured bacterium. RNAcentral's name for it is "partial 16S ribosomal RNA". It matches the Rfam family "Bacterial small subunit ribosomal RNA", at positions 338 to 795 of the family's 1533-position model. The record is from RNAcentral.